This 200-nucleotide ribosomal RNA is filed under the name uncultured bacterium. Its description in RNAcentral is "partial 16S ribosomal RNA". It matches the Rfam family "Bacterial small subunit ribosomal RNA", at positions 8 to 198 of the family's 1533-position model. The record is from RNAcentral.
AGAGUUUGAUCCUGGCUCAGAGCGAACGCUGGCGGCGUGCUUAACACAUGCAAGUCGUACGCGCAGUUUUCUGUAGCAAUACAGGAGGCGGGCGCGUGGCGAACGGGUGCGUAACACGUGGGCAACCUGCCCUCAUGUGGGGAAUAACCCAGCGAAAGUUGGGCUAAUACCGCAUAACAUUCCGAUGACUGCUGUUGUUG